UUAAGUUCAGCGGGUAUCCCUACCUGAUCCGAGGUCAACCAUAGAAAAUUAGGGGGUUAAUGGCAAGCAACCUAAAGGGCCUGUAGCGAGGAGAAUUACUACGCUCAGGACCCCACGGCCGCCGCACACUGAUUUUAAGGCCCGUCAUCUUACUGACGAAGCCCAAUACCAAGCAGAGCUUGAGGGGUUGAAAUGACGCU
RNAcentral lists this unclassified non-coding RNA (200 nucleotides) under Scleromitrula sp. RNAcentral describes it as "partial internal transcribed spacer 2". The record is from RNAcentral. Lineage: Eukaryota; Fungi; Ascomycota; Leotiomycetes; Helotiales; Sclerotiniaceae.